GUAGGGAAUAUUGGACAAUGGGGGGAACCCUGAUCCAGCCAUGCCGCGUGGAGGAAGACUGCCCUCUGGGUUGUAAACUCCUUUUAUAUGGGAAGAACCGUCCUCAUUAAUGAGUGACCUGACGGUACCAUAGGAAUAAGAACCGGCUAACUCCGUGCCAGCAGCCGCGGUAAUAAGGAGGGUGCAAGCGUUAUCCGGAUUCACUGGGGUUAAAGGGUGCGUAGGCGGAUAAAUAAGUCAGUGGUGAAAUCAACGGACUCAACCUGUUAACUGCCAUUGAUACUGUGUAUCUUGAAUAUGAGAGAGGUAGGCGGAAUGUUGCAUGUAGCGGUGAAAUGCUUAGAUAUGCUACUAAACACCGAUUGCGAAGGCAGCUUACUAUUUCGUAAUUGACGCUGAGGCACGAAAGCGUGGGUAGCGAACAGGAUUAGAAACCCUGGUAGUCC
Molecule: ribosomal RNA, 446 nt
Filed under: uncultured bacterium
Lineage: Bacteria
Description: partial 16S ribosomal RNA
Rfam family: Bacterial small subunit ribosomal RNA
Source: RNAcentral